Molecule: long non-coding RNA, 582 nt
Filed under: Rattus norvegicus (Norway rat)
Lineage: Eukaryota; Metazoa; Chordata; Mammalia; Rodentia; Muridae
Description: long non-coding RNA NONRATT022736
Source: RNAcentral
UGACUAGUUAGGAACCAGCUCCUGUUAAGGGAUCGAUCGGUCCUUGAGGUCUUGAAGAGGACCCACUCCAUGGGAAACCCACUGAGGCCUCCGUACUCCAGGUAUUUAGAAGGACGUGAGGCUGUGAUUCUCCUCAGACAGACGGAACAUGUCCCAGAAAUUUGCUAACACGGGCAGCUUUAUCGAGAGAGAAGACCUUGGCAAACCUAACAAGGGUGUCGACAGAGUACAGAAAGGUGACUUUUGAUUACAGCAUGUCCCCGCGCCAGUGCCUGAGAGCGCAGGCACAGCGGUUUCACCGCUGCAUACCCAACUCAAUCCUCCAUUCCUUAUAGACACAGGAGGUCAGUAAUCCCAGAAUCAGAAAAAAGGGGAUUUAACAGCCAAGCCAGGAGAUUUUAUAGCAAAAAGUGCGCCCGCCUGGGCCCCAUCAUUUCUAAAUAUCCUGCUGCAAACGCGUACACCAUCCGGUCAGAGUUGGCUUCCAAGAAGGACUUCAGCAAUUCCUGUUCCAGCAUGUUCCAGCUGCCAACCUUCAUUAAAGUGGUCAAAUCUGAGACCCCCGCCCCAAACCAUUACAAU